RNAcentral lists this long non-coding RNA (4532 nucleotides) under Sus scrofa (pig). RNAcentral's name for it is "lncRNA (ENSSSCG00030063384.1)". Lineage: Eukaryota; Metazoa; Chordata; Mammalia; Artiodactyla; Suidae. The record is from RNAcentral.
UUUUUUUUUUUUUUUUAAAAGAGGGCAGUUCUUAAGCAGAGGGACCCGUUCGUAACAGGGAAUUAGAAUACAAAUCAGAAUGUAGGAAUAAAAGAGAAGCGAACGUGGAGGAUUGCAACUCACUGGAUACAGGGAUGCCAAGGGGAUCUACUGUGUUUAUGAUAAUGUAUAAAUACAUUUUAGACUCUAUUGCUGAAGAAAAAACACCUGAAAUACUCCCAAACUUCUCUGUGACCCGGGGUUGGAGUGGGACUGACCUUAAAGGUGGAAGACAUACAGCAUUUGCAGCUAGGCUAGAGUAGGCUGCGGCCAGAAUAUUGACUUACAUACAGCAAUGGAUAUCAACUCAAAGUACUAGAUUUCUUGAUCUUUUCAAUUUGAGGAGAGAACAUCUGAUGAAAUAUGAAGUUAGUGAACGGAUUUGGAGUAUGUAGCUAAAUUUAUAAUGGAGUCAAUCAGGAAAAAUUCUCUACCAAUUAAACCUUUGCUUUUGUCAUAUUCAGUAGCAGAAAAAUUGCUACUUGUCCGAUUCCAGAUAUGAGAGGCAAUCAGAAUACACAGUGAGUGCCUGAGGGUGACUUUUUAGGGGUUAAAUAUAGCUUUGCAUCAUUAUCUUAUGUGGAAAAAAAAUCCCAUUAUGACAGCAAAUCAGAUCUAAUCUGGCACUCCCUUUGCUACAAUUAUAUAAAAUAUGGUGGAAACUUGUCAAAGCUUUCAGUGAGAAAUGAGGCUACUGAUGCUUGGCAGCCCCCUUUUUGAGCACAGUAGAGAAUCACGUUGCUUAGCUACAGCCUUUGGCUGAUUUAGAAAGCUAGAAAUGACUGUAUUAUAUGAGAGUUAAACUCUACUCCCGGAUUUUUUUUUUUCCCUAAGGGAAAAAGGCUUAUUUACCACUUUCUUAUUUUUUGGAUCUCUUUACCAAGUCAUUUAUGUGUAUUCACCUAGGAUGAGUUUCGAUUUAUCAUUGUUUUUCCCUCCCUGGGGGGGUUAUAGAUUGAGAGAGAACAAGUGGGUGGUUGAUGAUACCCACAGAACAUAAAGUAUUGAAAUAACUUAAAUACUUUUGCCCAAAAAAUAAAGUGUAAGUAUCUAUUUUAGAUUUUUUUGUCAUUUGAGGUCAUUGUAUUUUUCCCCCUCUUUCAGCCUACUCGUAGUUUGAGUUGCUCUUGUCCUUAUAAUGCAUAAGAAUGCAAAAUAUUUAAUUUUGGUUUUGUAUUUCAAGAUGUAAGCUGAUUUAUAGAUGUAUGGAAAGGUAUAGAGAACAGCGCGUGAAACUGAUGAAGCCGAAGUAAGAGAGAGGCUGGAAUUGAAACUAAAACACUAAAAACAGAAGGAUUAAGGGGAAAAGCAAAGAACAACUGUAAACAGAGAAGUUUACAGCAGUUAUUGUAAAGCAGAAAAGUGUGUAAAGGGGGAAAUGUCAGAUGUGUCAGAGCCCGUUUCAAUGAGAUAAAAAUACUCAAGGACUCUUAAAUCUGGAGAUUUUAAAAGGCUUUUGGCUCAUGCUCUGUCUCCAGAAAGGAGUAUUUUUUAUACUGCUCUAAAUAUGUGAAUAUCCACUUUAUUUUUAUAGCUCUUCAGGAAGGAGAGCUGUCCCUCAGCAAUGCUUUCUAACAUCUUACCAUAAUUAUUGUAAUGAAGUAGAGCCAUGACCUAAUCUUGAUUAUGUAAUUAUUCAGUGGAUUUUACUAUUGGUUUGUUAGUACAAUCUGUUUCAUACAUGCAAAAGCAAUUUUUCCUGCUUUACAAUUCCCUGAUUACCUGGAGAAACAUCUAUAGAAUUGAUUCUGUAUUUACUUUCAGAAAUAGGAUAAUGGAUAAUCGUUGCUACAGGCUUGGCUCCAUUGCAAUUCUCAUUCUGUUGAAGCUAGAAUUCAUAGACUUAGAAGCUAAACAACUUUGUUUAUGAGCUUUGUGCUUACUCUGGUCUGCAAAUCACCUUCAUUUGCCACUUUUUAAAAUAUGGUCAUUUAAUACCGUCAUAUUCAAAAUGCAGUCCUGGAAUCCCUGGGGGGCCCUCAAGACCCUGUUAAGGGCGUCUGUGAAGUUGGAACUAUUUUCCUAAUAAUUCAGAGACAUUAUUUGCCUUCUGAACUCUCUAUUCUCUUAGGGGUGUACAGAGACUUCAUAAGAUAUGACAUAGAAACAGACUGAAUGCAGAAAGAAAUAUGAGACUCUAGUUGUCUUUUAAUAAGCCAGACUUUAAGGAGACUUGCAGAAAUGUAAGACAAUGAUACUCUUCCUGCUAAUUUUUUUUUUGAAAAUACAGUUACUUUUUGUAAAUACAUUAUUUGUGUUAACAUGUUAUGAGCUUAUUGUUUUUAAAAUUUUUUAUUUUUUUAAGUAUAGUAGAUUACAAUGUUUUGUUAGUUUCUGCUGUACAGCAAGUGAUUCAAUUAUACACACACACACACACACAUAACUUUUUUAUGUGUUCUUUUCUUUCUUUCUUUUUUUUUUUAAUUUUCCCACUGUACAGCAAGGGGGCCAGGGAUCGAACCCGCAACCUCACGGUUCCUAGUCAGAUUCGUUAACCACUGCGCCACGACAGGAACUCCCUCAUGUUGAAAUUUUAAAUGUAAAUUAAAAGUCAUUUUCACACUGAAGCAUAUUUUUAAAACAUUUUAUAUAAAUAUAUUGUCCUGUAUUUCCUGUAUUUUUUUUUCUUGAAACAGUAUCUCAGAGUAGCUACAAGUGCUGGCUUUGGAUUCACAUUGCUUGGGUUUCUUAACCUUUUAAUGCCUCCAAGUUCUUUAAAUGGGAAUUGUUCUAUGAUGUAUGCAAAAUGCUUUCCACAUAUAUUCUCUAUAAAUACCAGGUAUUUUCCAUAGCACUUUGUAUGCUUGAAAUAAUUACUUAUUGAUAAUUACUUACGUCUGUCUUCUAUGCUAAACUGUAAGCUCCCCCAGGGCAGAAACCAUCAGUUAUGUUCACCACGGUUAUCUCAAGUGCCAUAACAAUGUCUUUAAUAUAGGCAUUCAACAAAUGUUUGUUGUGGUCAGCUGCUUAAUAUUCUUCAGUGACUUUCCUUAACCUCUAAGGUAAAACCUACCUUAUAUACAUGGCUUUCUAUAUCUAAAUUUCUUCUCAUUCCACAAUACCCAGAUAGAUACUUGCCUUCCAUAAUUCUACCGUGGUGUUUCAUGAAUUUAUUUGCACAUGGUCUUCCUUUGGAAUAACAUACGACUUACUCCUUUGGCCACCAGGCAGAUUCUUGCUUAUCCUCUGAAUCCUAGACUUUCCUCCUCUGUGACCACUUUGCAGUCUAUUACCCACUUCAGUCAGAGCAGGUUGUCACCUACAAGCCACUGUAGUACAGUGUACAUAUUUUUAUUUUAACAUCUAUAAUGGUAUAGUAAAGUGAACUGAUUAUUCUUACAGUAGCUAGUUUUAUCAGAUGCUUGCACUCUUCUCGUGUCUGUAAGUAUUGUGUGUAUGCAUAUGUAUAUAAAUACAUAUAAAGAUUAAUUUAAUCCUCAAAACAGUCCUAGAAAAUACCUGUUAUUAUUCCAGCUUUACAGAUGAGGAAAAUGAAGAUCAGCUAUUUAAAAAAAUUAAUAUGGGUUACAUCUUAAUUAAGAAUUUGGACUGACCAGUUGCUGAUGCAACGAUACCUUGAGGCAAGGGCUGUGGCCUACUCAUAUGUGUUAUUGGUACAGCUACCCUUGUAAAUUAAAUUCAUGUAUAAUAUCAUAUUCAUGUUAUAGAGCAUCUCUUAUGGUGACUGUUUUCAUCACUUUAUCACACCCAUAAGAAAGAUUAAUUCUACCACAGCUUGCCAGAUACCCUCUUUAGUAAUGGAACAUUCCAGGCGUAACCUGGUUACUUAUGAUACUCUUCCUACUGUCUAAAUACCUUCUUGGAUACUUAGAUUGUAGGUCUUGUAACUUUAAUUUGUUUUAUAUUUUACUUCAUUUAUUUCAUCUAUUCAUUGCAAGCAGUUCUAAUUAAAAAUGAAUAGGGGUUCAAUUAAAAUUGAUGGUUUUAAUUCUUAUGAGAGAACUUCUAUUAUUACAAAUACUAUAAUCAGCUACUAUUAUUUUUAGAAUCAAAAACUCUGUGCAUGCCACAAUGACUUAGUUAUGUGCUUUAGUUUCUAUUGUUUUUCAUUUGUGAUAGAUGCAUUUUGAAAAAGGGUGUAAAGAAUUCAGAGCAGGUGGCUCUAUAAAUUGACUAGUGAUUAUUCUCAAUUCACCAUUGUCAAGUAUUUUUGUCACUUAUCUAGAUUUGAAAGAAUGAACACAUAAUGCUUUUAAAAGCUGCAUCUCUCUUUUUGACAUAAAAAUAAACAGCUUUGCAAAUACUCUUCAGCUAACUCCAUUACUCCACAAUCAAACCACAAAAUUAAAAAUUAGGUUAUUUUCUUGAUAGGAAGCUUUUCAGUAUAUAUAAGUGUAUAAUUGGAAAAUCUUUUUUCAAUUUUUAGCCCUCCCUUACUACCUCCCUCUUCUUUCCUUACUUUUCUCUUUUUUCCUUUUCCCUAUCCUCUGCUCUUUUCCUUUCCCCCUUUCAUAUUCUUGUCUCUCUUUUGC